RNAcentral lists this ribosomal RNA (499 nucleotides) under uncultured bacterium. RNAcentral's name for it is "bacterial SSU rRNA". It matches the Rfam family "Bacterial small subunit ribosomal RNA", at positions 356 to 870 of the family's 1533-position model. The record is from RNAcentral.
UGGGAAUAUUGCGCAAUGGGGGAAACCCUGACGCAGCCAUGCCGCGUGAGUGAAGAAGGUCUUCGGAUCGUAAAGCUCUUUCAACGGUGAAGAUAAUGACGGUAGCAGGUAAAGAAACCCCGGCUAACUCCGUGCCAGCAGCCGCGGUAAUACGGAGGGGGUUAGCGUUGUUCGGAAUUACUGGGCGUAAAGCGCACGUAGGCGGACCAGAAAGUUGGGGGUGAAAUCCCGGGGGCUCAACCCCGGAACUGCCUCCAAAACUAUUGGUCUAGAGUUCGAGAGAGGUGAGUGGAAUUCCAAGUGUAGAGGUGAAAUUCGUAGAUAUUUGGAGGAACACCAGUGGCGAAGGCGGCUCACUGGCUCGAUACUGACGCUGAGGUGCGAAAGUGUGGGGAGCAAACAGGAUUAGAUACCCUGGGUAGUCCACACCGUAAAACGAUGAAUGCCAGUCGUCGGGUAGCAUGCUAUUCGGUGACACACCUAACGGAUUAAGCAUUCC